Molecule: long non-coding RNA, 989 nt
Filed under: Carassius auratus (goldfish)
Lineage: Eukaryota; Metazoa; Chordata; Actinopteri; Cypriniformes; Cyprinidae
Description: lncRNA (ENSCARG00000067350.1)
Source: RNAcentral
GGUUUAUUUCGAAUGCUUUCGUGGCAUGUUGAGGUGUAACGCGCCUCUGCAGCCUCGGGUUUUUGAGACGCCACCUCGAACGCCUUGAUGUGCAUCGACAGUGAUGACAAAACCAUGAAGCUCACGCUGUCUGGCUCCGACUCAAUAUCCUGCCUCCAUGCGUUUGUCUAUAAGGGCCUCUGAUUAUGUCGGCAUGAGAAACUUGAUGAGGAAAAUACUGUUUGCUCGAGACCGCCGCCCUGGUGGAGGACACCCAGCUCAACAACCUCGUGAGUCAGACAAAAUACAUGAGCUUUCACGAUGUUAGAGAGAUUUCUGGAAUGGCUUAUAAAUAGUAGGCAAAUAUAAUACACAUGUGAAUUGUCACUGCUUAAAAGCCUUGAUUUUGUCAGUAGAGAAAGCUAAGUUUAACAUACGUUUUUUAUUUCAUUUAUUUUAUUUGUCAUUUUAUUUUGAAGAAUUUGCAAAGUUUUUUUAUGUAAUAAUUUUUUUUUUGUACAGUAAAAACAUUAAGAUGACCUUUAACAUUAUUUUCUAGUCUUAAAAUGUAUUUAAUUUUAUUUGAAUUAAUUUAUGAAAAAAAAAAUCUAAAAUUGUAUUGUAUGGUCUUUUGAAGAGAAAACAAUUGUGCACAAUGAGGCCAUUAAAGUGAAUAUAAUUGUCAAAUAUAAAUUUUACCCUACUGCAUUUUAUUUGUAUUUAUUUAUUUUUAUAAACUUUUUUUUUUUUAGUAUAAGGUGGUGUACAUUUAUUUUAAGGACAAAAAAAAUUGAGCAACAACCAGACUUGAAAGUGAAUAUUACUUUCAGAUAUUAUUUAUUGUCCCUGCUGUAUUUUAUUUAAUUUUAUUUAUUUUUUAACAAAUUAAUGAAACUUUUUAUUUUAAUUUCUGUAGAGUUUUUAAAAACAAAAAUGUUUAAAAGACAGGGGAAUUUUUAUUUUCCAUUAUUUUCUUUCAGAUUUUUAUUUUGUUAAUUUUUUUUCUGCUG